CUGACUGGGAGUUUGGGGACAGUAGGGUAAAUUGAAACCAGACACAUCACCUGGGACAUGCGCAGACGAAUGUAAACACGUGCACGAGCUCGGCAAGUGUAUGCAUGCGUCUCGUGCUUAUGCUUCAACUGAUAUUAAUCUGAACGCACUACUGAUACCAACGCUUUCAAACAUUUAAUGUAAUUACACUUUCCUGUGGAUAUAUUGUCUCACAUUCCUACCCCAAGAGGACCAACCAGCACUGCCAACAGGUUAAAAACAUGGUUGACUGACGAGACAACGAUUCUUUAUGACACGUCUCCUUGUUACAAUGCUGUUCACCACUGUAGCGCAUCAAGAGUGGGAGAAGGACGACUCUCUCUUUCUGCAUAUUGGAUCACUUUCAAUGAACUCUGUCAACUGUCUCUCUGGCAUGGGCUUCUCUGGGACCAGACAUGAGAUCAUCGCCGUAUUUCCCAGCAUGAUGCUGUUCCAUAAUGAGGUCAAUGGAGGGAUGUACCGUGUCCCCGCCAUGCUGUGCUGUCCCUCUCCAGCUCCUUCCUGGCCUCAGACACCCAGGCUCACCUUCUGGUCAUGCGCAAGGGCACCUUCUACAGGAACUAUGUAGAGAGGUUGCCGUGGGCGACUCCAAAGCACCCUGGGGGUGGGGCUUGCGAUUGAGCACGUCUGUCAAUCUUUUCCGGAACACCCUGCACAGGAACACAUAGAUCAGCGGGUCCAGACACACGUUAGUGGCACAGAGCCAGAGAGUGGUCUCCUUGGCAACGUAGAGCGCGUUCUGCGCCCAGCAGUGGUUGGCUGUUUUUCGGGUCUGGGUAAGAGUGUAGGGCACUCUGGCGAAAUGAAAAGGGGCGAAACAAACGAAAAACACCACCACCACCACAAAGACCUUGGCCUUGGUUCUGCGGCUGGCCGCGUUGGAGCCACUACGCGAGGCUUUGUAGGACUCGUAGACUUUACGACUGAUGAAAGUGUAACACAACAACAUCAGAGCCAGUGUUCCCCAAAACACCACCUGGGAAGAGGAGGAGAAAAUGCAUUGAACAACAGAGACAAUCUCUAUAAAUACGGCCCCUUGGUUAGCCAGGUUAACGUACUACCGCCAGGAUACCAUUCAGUGUAAUGAUGCCGGCGUACAAGAAUGUAGCCCGUACCUGGCAGAAGUAGUUGAAGCCCUCGUGCCACAGCAGACCGGCCUGACCCUUUAGAGAGGUACACUUCAGCCGACCAGGAGAACCCGACGGUGUGCGGUCACUCAGAAUGGUAUUGGGCAGAGCCAGAGACACCAUCACAGCCCAGACGGCCACACUCAAGGCCUGUCCCACCCCGACCCUCUGGAGGGCGCACUUCCCGAAGGGCCUGACUAUCUUGAGGUAGCGGUCCAGGCUGAUGAGCCCCAGGAGCAGGAUGCUGAUGUACAUGGUGGUGUAGAAGAGGACGGCGGAGUAGCGACAGUAGAACGCACGCAGACGCCAGGAGCCUACGUCCGUGUCCGCGAGGACUUUCACCGGGAUGGACAGGGUCAUCAGCAGGUCUGCCACCACCUGUUGACGAACAGGCCAUCACGUCAGUCAUCAGUCGUUAUUGUUCAACCAUUUCUGGCAGUUGGACUAAAUUUGUUUAUCACAGAAAAUAAAUGCUGGUUCCCUUACUACGUUCUUCAGGUAGACCACGAAGGUGGUGGUGCUACGGAUGUUGAAGAAGAUCCAUGCAGCCAGGCAGUUGAGUACCAGCGCAAACAGGAAGAGGGCGCUGUAGAGACAGGGGAAGACCACCGCCGUCACGCUGGUGUCACGCACACACUUCAGAGACAGGUUUGAUUGGCUGCCGUUCAUCCUCACGCCCAGCAGUACUAUGGAGAGAAACAGAAUAAAAAUGAUUGGAUGAAUAGUAAACAGUAAGGCCUCUAUUUCCCCAUAGCAACACAACAUGCAUUCACCAAAAAAGAGAGGGAGAGAGAGAGAAACAGAGAGAAUAGAGUGAGAAAGAAAGAGAGCGAUAGAGACAACCACUGCACCGAAGCAGAACCUGAGACAGAGCUGC
Oncorhynchus gorbuscha (pink salmon) is the source of this 2043-nucleotide long non-coding RNA. RefSeq lists it as uncharacterized. The record is from RefSeq and is a predicted model, not a curated record. Lineage: Eukaryota; Metazoa; Chordata; Actinopteri; Salmoniformes; Salmonidae. The transcript has 4 exons.